This 111-nucleotide ribosomal RNA is filed under the name Enterobacter cloacae. Its description in RNAcentral is "partial 23S ribosomal RNA". It matches the Rfam family "Bacterial large subunit ribosomal RNA", at positions 2804 to 2925 of the family's 2925-position model. RNAcentral also lists the same sequence under 8 other names. Lineage: Bacteria; Pseudomonadati; Pseudomonadota; Gammaproteobacteria; Enterobacterales; Enterobacteriaceae. The record is from RNAcentral.
ACUUUAAGUCUCCUGAAGGAACGUUGAAGACGACGACGUUGAUAGGUCGGGUGUGUAAGCGCAGCGAUGCGUUGAGCUAACCGAUACUAAUGAACCGUGAGGCUUAACCUU